RNAcentral lists this ribosomal RNA (475 nucleotides) under Psammophis leightoni. Its description in RNAcentral is "partial large subunit ribosomal RNA". Lineage: Eukaryota; Metazoa; Chordata; Lepidosauria; Squamata. The record is from RNAcentral.
AUUAAACGGCCGCGGUACCCUAACCGUGCAAAGGUAGCGUAAUCACUUGUCUAUUAAUUGUAGACCUGUAUGAAAGGCAAAAUGAGGGUCUAACUGUCUCUUAUAACCAAKCAAUUAAACUGAUCUCCCAGUACAAAAGCUGGAAUUCCAACAUAAGACCAGAAGACCCUGUGAAGCUUAAACCACACUGUCAAACCCUAUGACAACUAAUUUCGGUUGGGGCGACCUUGGAAAAAAAAAGAACUUCCAAAUACUAAAGCUACAAACUAAAGCUAACUUCAGGCCGACAGGCCAAACAACGACCCAGCAAUGCUGAUUAAUGAAACAAGUUACUCCAGGGAUAACAGCGCUAUCUUCUUCAAGAGCCCAUAUCAAAAAGAAGGUUUACGACCUCGAUGUUGGAUCAGGACAUCCUAAUGGUGCAGCCGCUAUUAAGGGUUCGUUUGUUCAACAUUAACAGUCCCACGUGAUCUGA